GUGCCCGUGGUGUAACGGUUAGCACGGAAGCUUGUGGAGCUUCUAGUCAGGGUUCAAAUCCCUGCGGGCACC
RNAcentral lists this transfer RNA (72 nucleotides) under Candidatus Lloydbacteria bacterium CG22_combo_CG10-13_8_21_14_all_47_15. RNAcentral's name for it is "tRNA-His". It matches the Rfam family "tRNA". From Rfam's summary of the family: Transfer RNA (tRNA) molecules are approximately 80 nucleotides in length. Their secondary structure includes four short double-helical elements and three loops (D, anti-codon, and T loops). The record is from RNAcentral. Lineage: Bacteria; Candidatus Lloydiibacteriota.